Molecule: ribosomal RNA, 475 nt
Filed under: uncultured bacterium
Lineage: Bacteria
Description: SSU rRNA
Rfam family: Bacterial small subunit ribosomal RNA
Source: RNAcentral
AGGAUGAACGCUGGCGGCGUGCCUAACACAUGCAAGUCGAACGUCCUGUCUCGCAAGAGGCAGGGAGUGGCGGACGGGUGAGUACCACGUGGGUCAUCUACCGUGAGGUGAGGAAUACCGGCGAGAAAUCGCCGACAAGACCGCAUAGGCUCGAUGCAAGUCGAGCAAAGCUCUUUCGAGAGAGGGAGCGCCACACGAGGAGCCUGCGCCCGAUUAGCUAGCUGGUGGAGUAACGGUUCACCAGGGCGACGAUCGGUAGCUGGUCUGAGAGGACGAUCAGCCACACUGGGAUUGAGAACGGCCCAGACUCCUACGGGGGGCAGCAGUGAGGAAUUUUCGUCAAUGGGGGCAACCCUGAACGAGCAACGCCGCGUGCAGGAAGAAGGUUUUCGGAUCGUAAACUGCUUUUCUCGGGGAAGAGAAUGGACGGUACCCGAGGAAUCAGCCCGGCUAACUACGCGCCAGCAGCCGCGGU